AGCAAACGCUGGCGGCGUGCCUAAUACAUGCAAGUCGAACGGGGAAAGUAGCAAUACGAGUACUAGUGGCGCACGGGUGAGGAACACGUGGGUAAUCUGCCUUCGAGCGGGGGAUAACUAGUCGAAAGAUUAGCUAAUACCGCAUAAGACCACAAUGUCUGCGGACAAAGGGGUAAAAGUCGCAAGACACUUGAAGAUGAGCCCGCGUAAGAUUAGCUAGUUGGUGAGGUAAUGGCUCACCAAGGCGAUGAUCUUUAGCUGGUCUGAGAGGAUGAUCAGCCACACUGGAACUGAGACACAGUCCAGACUCCGACGGGAGGCAGCAGUAGGGAAUAUUGCGCAAUGGGGGAAACCCUGACGCAGCGACGCCGCGUGAGUGAUGAAGGCCUUCGGGUCGUAAAGCUCUGUUAUAUGGGAAUAAGAUCUGAAUGUACCAUGUGAGAAAGGAUCGGCUAACUUCGUGCCAGCCGCCGCAGUAA
This 479-nucleotide ribosomal RNA is filed under the name uncultured bacterium. RNAcentral describes it as "partial 16S ribosomal RNA". It matches the Rfam family "Bacterial small subunit ribosomal RNA", at positions 29 to 523 of the family's 1533-position model. The record is from RNAcentral.